This 71-nucleotide transfer RNA is filed under the name Stegodyphus mimosarum. It matches the Rfam family "tRNA". Rfam says of the family: Transfer RNA (tRNA) molecules are approximately 80 nucleotides in length. Their secondary structure includes four short double-helical elements and three loops (D, anti-codon, and T loops). The record is from Rfam by way of RNAcentral. Lineage: Eukaryota; Metazoa; Arthropoda; Arachnida; Araneae; Eresidae.
GCUUUCGUUGUGUAACGGUAGCACACUUGACGCGUAUUUCAGAGGUCCAAGUUCGAGUCCCGGCGAGGGCA